GGCUACCUAGAUCGGGUACCACUGGAACGGUGGCUAAUACCGGAUGGUGCCGAGAGGUGAAAGAUUUAUUGCCUGAAGAUGAGCUCGCGUCUGAUUAGCUAGUUGGUGGGGUAAGAGCCUACCAAGGCGACGAUCAGUAGCUGGUCUGAGAGGAUGAUCAGCCACACUGGGACUGAGACACGGCCCAGACUCCUACGGGAGGCAGCAGUGGGGAAUUUUCCGCAAUGGGCGAAAGCCUGACGGAGCAAUACCGCGUGAGGGAGGAAGGCUCUUGGGUUGUAAACCUCUUUUCUCAGGGAAUAAAAAAAUGAAGGUACCUGAGGAAUAAGCAUCGGCUAACUCCGUGCCAGCAGCCGCGGUAAUACGGAGGAUGCAAGCGUUAUCCGGAAUGAUUGGGCGUAAAGCGUCCGCAGGUGGCUGUGUAAGUCUGCUGUUAAAGAGUCUAGCUCAACUAGAUAAGAGCAGUGGAAACUACAUGGCUAGAGUGCGUUCGGGGCAGAGGGAAUUCCUGGUGUAGCGGUGAAAUGCGUAGAGAUCAGGAAGAACACCGGUGGCGAAAGCGCUCUGCUAGGCCGCAACUGACACUGAGGGACGAAAGCUAGGGGAGCGAAUGGGAUUAGAUACCCCCGGUAGUCA
Molecule: ribosomal RNA, 636 nt
Filed under: Nostoc sp. BTA791
Lineage: Bacteria; Bacillati; Cyanobacteriota; Cyanophyceae; Nostocales; Nostocaceae
Description: bacterial SSU rRNA
Rfam family: Bacterial small subunit ribosomal RNA
Source: RNAcentral